CACAUCUAUCCACGCCUUACCACUCAUAGUUACAUUUGAAAUCUAUUCUAUUCAAAUGUCCUUCUGGAAACUAAUCAAAUGUGCCGUACGACUUGUUGUCGCUGCGGCACUACUAUACAUUAUAUACGAUACCCUUGUGAUAAUUAACUAUUGCAUCAGAAUUCUGCGCAGAGAAAACUGAGGCUGAACCUCAACUAAAUGUGACCAAAAUGGAAUUCUAUGCGCAGAGCAAUGGCUGUUUUUGUCAAAAUUCGCAAUGUUUUUUUACCUUACCAUUACGAUAUUAUAUAUUUGUGAAUUUUGAAAUAUGUUUCAGAAAGUUAGCUGCUGCUCUGUGCAUAAUAAAAUGAUGUAAAAGCUUGA
Molecule: long non-coding RNA, 363 nt
Organism: Drosophila guanche
Lineage: Eukaryota; Metazoa; Arthropoda; Insecta; Diptera; Drosophilidae
Exons: 2
Source: RefSeq, a predicted model, not a curated record